AGAGUUUGAUCAUGGCUCAGAGCGAACGCUGGCGGCAGGCCUAACACAUGCAAGUCGAACGGGCGUAGCAAUACGUCAGUGGCAGACGGGUGAGUAACGCGUGGGAACGUACCUUUUGGUUCGGAACAACACAGGGAAACUUGUGCUAAUACCGGAUAAGCCCUUACGGGGAAAGAUUUAUCGCCGAAAGAUCGGCCCGCGUCUGAUUAGCUUGUUGGUGAGGUAAUGGCUCACCAAGGCGACGAUCAGUAGCUGGUCUGAGAGGAUGAUCAGCCACAUUGGGACUGAGACACGGCCCAAACUCCUACGGGAGGCAGCAGUGGGGAAUAUUGGACAAUGGGGGCAACCCUGAUCCAGCCAUGCCGCGUGAGUGAUGAAGGCCCUAGGGUUGUAAAGCUCUUUUGUGCGGGAAGAUAAUGACGGUACCGCAAGAAUAAGCCCCGGCUAACUUCGUGCCAGCCGCCGCGGUAAUUC
This 474-nucleotide ribosomal RNA is filed under the name uncultured bacterium. RNAcentral's name for it is "bacterial SSU rRNA". It matches the Rfam family "Bacterial small subunit ribosomal RNA", at positions 8 to 526 of the family's 1533-position model. The record is from RNAcentral.